RNAcentral lists this unclassified non-coding RNA (334 nucleotides) under soil metagenome. Its description in RNAcentral is "partial contains 5.8S ribosomal RNA, internal transcribed spacer 2, and large subunit ribosomal RNA". The stretch from base 1 to 120 matches the Rfam family "5.8S ribosomal RNA", at positions 35 to 154 of the family's 154-position model. The record is from RNAcentral.
GAUGAAGAACGUAGCGAAAUGCGAUAAGUAAUGUGAAUUGCAGAAUUCAGUGAAUCAUCGAAUCUUUGAACGCACAUUGCGCCCCCCAGUAUUCUGGCGGGCAUGCCUGUUCGAGCGUCAUUUCAACCAUCAAGCCCUGCUUGUGUUGGGGUCCUGCGGCUGCCCGCAGGCCCUGAAAACCAGUGGCGGGCUCGCUAGUCACACCGAGCGCAGUAGCAUAUCUCGCUCAGGGCGUGCGGCGGGCUCCAGCCGUUAAAGCACCCACCUUUCGCAAGGUUGACCUCGGAUCAGGUAGGAAUACCCGCUGAACUUAAGCAUAUCAAUAAGCGGAGGA